Molecule: ribosomal RNA, 484 nt
Filed under: uncultured bacterium
Lineage: Bacteria
Description: partial 16S ribosomal RNA
Rfam family: Bacterial small subunit ribosomal RNA
Source: RNAcentral
AUUGAACGCUGGCGGCAUGCUUUACACAUGCAAGUCGAACGGCCGCGCGGGCUUCGGCCUGGCGGCGAGUGGCCAACGGGUGAGUAAUGCAUCGGAACGUGCCCAGUAGUGGGGGAUAGCCCUGCGAAAGCCGGAUUAAUACCUCAUACGACCUGAGGGUGAAAGCGGGGGACCGAAAGGCCUCGCGCUAUUGGAGCGGCCGUUGUCGGGUUAGCCAGUUGGUGGGGUUAAGGCUUACCGAGGCGACGAUCCGUAGCUGGUCUGAGAGGACGACCAGCCACACUGGGACUGAGACACGGCCCAGACUCCUGCGGGAGGCAGCAGUGGGGAAUUUUGGACAAUGGGGGCAACCCUGAUCCAGCCCUGCCGCGUGCGGGAAGAAGGCCUUCGGGUUGUAAAACGCUUUUGUUCGGGAAGAAAUCCUCUGGGCUAAUACCCCGCGGGGAUGACGGUACCGGAAGAAUAAGCACCGGCUGACUACGUG